GGGAUACACCUAUUGAGUCAGCAAGACAUGCUGGGGGUUUCUGGUUUUCCAACGUGAUGUGAUCUCCCAGCUGGAACAAGGGGAAGAGCCAUGGGUCCCAGAGCUCCAGGGUUCAGAGGAAAGAGAGAUCCUGAGAUCUCCCCGCACAGAUGAGGAAACAUUAAACCAACUCAGAAUCUCAGGUGAUGCAAUGACGUGUGAGAAAGAGGAGCAGAAUUCUCAGCAGGGAAAUGUUGAGCAAGUGGAUAAACACAGAGCAUUAUCG
Molecule: long non-coding RNA, 265 nt
Organism: Gopherus flavomarginatus (Mexican gopher tortoise)
Lineage: Eukaryota; Metazoa; Chordata; Testudines; Testudinidae
Exons: 3
Source: RefSeq, a predicted model, not a curated record